GCAUAUCAAUAAGCGGAGGAAAAGAAACCAACAGGGAUUGCCCUAGUAACGGCGAGUGAAGCGGCAACAGCUCAAAUUUGAAAUCUGGCUCUUUUAGAGUCCGAGUUGUAAUUUGCAGAGGGCGCUUUGGCUUUGGCAGCGGUCCAAGUUCCUUGGAACAGGACGUCACAGAGGGUGAGAAUCCCGUACGUGGUCGCUGGCUAUUGCCGUGUAAAGCCCCUUCGACGAGUCGAGUUGUUUGGGAAUGCAGCUCUAAAUGGGAGGUACAUUUCUUCUAAAGCUAAAUAUUGGCCAGAGACCGAUAGCGCACAAGUAGAGUGAUCGAAAGAUGAAAAGCACUUUGGAAAGAGAGUCAAACAGCACGUGAAAUUGUUGAAAGGGAAGCGCUUGCAGCCAGACUUGCUUGCAGUUGCUCAUCCGGGCUUUUUGCCCGGUGCACUCUUCUGUAGGCAGGCCAGCAUCAGUUUGGGCGGUAGGAUAAAGGUCUCUGUCACGUACCUCCUUUCGGGGAGGCCUUAUAGGGGAGGCGACAUACUACCAGCCUGGACUGAGGUCCGCGCAUCUGCUAGGAUGCUGGCGUAAUGGCUGUAAGCGGCCCGUCUUGAAACACGGACCAAGGAGUCUAACAUCUAUGCGAGUGUUUGGGUGUCAAGCCCGAGCGCGUAAUGAAAGUGAACGGAGGUGGGAACCCGCAAGGGUGCACCAUCGACCGAUCCUGAUGUCUUCGGAAGGAUUUGAGUAAGAGCAUGGCUGUUGGGACCCGAAAGAUGGUGAACUAUGCUUGAAUAGGGUGAAGCCAGAGGAAACUCUGGUGGAGGCUCGCAGCGGUUCUGACGUGCAAAUCGAUCGUCAAAUUUGGGCAUAGGGGCGAAAGACUAAUCGAACUAUCUAGUAGCUGGUUCCUGCC
This 907-nucleotide ribosomal RNA is filed under the name Alternaria tropica. Its description in RNAcentral is "LSU rRNA". It matches the Rfam family "Eukaryotic large subunit ribosomal RNA", at positions 38 to 962 of the family's 3401-position model. The record is from RNAcentral. Lineage: Eukaryota; Fungi; Ascomycota; Dothideomycetes; Pleosporales; Pleosporaceae.